RNAcentral lists this ribosomal RNA (447 nucleotides) under uncultured bacterium. RNAcentral describes it as "bacterial SSU rRNA". It matches the Rfam family "Bacterial small subunit ribosomal RNA", at positions 355 to 825 of the family's 1533-position model. The record is from RNAcentral.
UGGGGAAUCUUGGACAAUGGGCGCAAGCCUGAUCCAGCCAUGCCGCGUGGGUGAAGAAGGCCUUCGGGUUGUAAAGCUCUUUUACCCGGGAAGAUAAUGACUGUACCGGGAGAAUAAGCCCCGGCUAACUCCGUGCCAGCAGCCGCGGUAAUACGGAGGGGGCUAGCGUUGUUCGGAAUUACUGGGCGUAAAGCGUACGUAGGCGGUUAUCCAAGUCAGAGGUGAAAGCCCGGGGCUCAACUCCGGAACUGCCUUUGAAACUAGGUAGCUAGAAUCACGGAGAGGUAAGUGGAAUUCCGAGUGUAGAGGUGAAAUUCGUAGAUAUUCGGAAGAACACCAGUGGCGAAGGCGGCUUACUGGACGUGUAUUGACGCUGAGGUACGAAAGCGUGGGGAGCAAACAGGAUUAGAUACCCCGGUAGUCCCUGAGCGGGCUGGCAAGGCGCAU